CCCAGGCCUUUGGAUCUAACGGGCAAGAGAUCAUAUGGAUAAGGAGGCGUGUGCGCACAAUGUUACAUAGGGGAUGCACUCAAGAUUCCCCUUGGCUGACCUGAAGUCAAUGCCAAAUGGGAGUGCAAGUGGAAGCAGAGUGGAUAUGGAGAGACUUAGGUGGCAUGCAUGAAUGGAGUAUCAGAAACCAUACAAAAAAAACUACUCAAAGAGAGAGAGAGAGAGAGAGAGCGUGUUCAUUUGAAACACUAUGUUCUCUCUCCUCUUCUCAGAGCCUUCAUGCUCUCUCCCUAUAUCAAACAUGAACACCACCUGUGUUCACAAAAAAUAUCGGGUGUCGCCUCAUUUCCGCUAGUUUCAACCGAAAAACUCAACUCGAGUGAACCCUAACCCAAAAUUCGACCUCCAUAACCCCUAAUCAACCCCUUUUCAACAUAGACCCUAGAUCAUUUUCCUUACUAAAUCCAAAUCUAAAUCCAAAAUCAUCAAACAACUACUCGAUCUAGCAUAUCAGAGUUAACCCCAAAUCAAAAACCCUGAUUCCUAAACCCACAAAUCAAACACAAAUCCCUUAAAUCCUCUUCCAAGCCAUGGUUCAACAUCAAAAAUCAACAAUAAAUCAACACCUAAUGGUGCAUAAAUAAAGAGAAAAUAAUCAAACAAAAAAAAUUCUACAAGGUUCAGUGUCUGCACAAGGGAGUGAAGAACUCAACAGAGAAGGAAAUUACCUACUCCAAGUGUCGUUGGAGUGAAGAAAUCCCCAGGAUGAUGUGAUGAUGAGGACAUGGUAAAAGGGGCCAUGAGCACAUGAGGAAGGGUGUGUAAAAGUUACCUGACAACCUUGCUACAAAAUGUUUUUUUCUUCUUUUUUAUUUAUUUUCAUCUCAUUUUUGUAUUUUGUAAAUUUUGGUACUCUUCAUUUUGUCCCGUAUAAAAUGUAAAACUAAAUUCAUUAAUCAAUAUAAAUAUUUUUCUUUCUUAA
This is a long non-coding RNA of Lathyrus oleraceus (garden pea), 982 nucleotides long. RefSeq lists it as uncharacterized. The record is from RefSeq and is a predicted model, not a curated record. Lineage: Eukaryota; Viridiplantae; Streptophyta; Magnoliopsida; Fabales; Fabaceae. The transcript has 2 exons.